CUACGGGGUGCUGCAGUGGGGAAUAUUGCACAAUGGGCGCAAGCCUGAUGCAGCCAUGCCGCGUGUAUGAAGAAGGCCUUCGGGUUGUAAAGUACUUUCAGCGGGGAGGAAGGGAGUAAAGUUAAUACCUUUGCUCAUUGACGUUACCCGCAGAAGAAGCACCGGCUAACUCCGUGCCAGCAGCCGCGGUAAUACGGAGGGUGCAAGCGUUAAUCGGAAUUACUGGGCGUAAAGCGCACGCAGGCGGUUUGUUAAGUCAGAUGUGAACUCCCCGGGCUCAACCUGGGAACUGCAUCUGAUACUGGCAAGCUUGAGUCCCGUAGAGGGGGGUAGAAUUCCAGGUGUAGCGGUGAAAUGCGUAGAGAUCUGGAGGAAUACCGGUGGCGAAGGCGGCCCCCUGGACGAAGACUGACGCUCAGGUGCGAAAGCGUGGGGAGCAAACAGGAUUAGAUACCCCCGUAGUC
Molecule: ribosomal RNA, 464 nt
Filed under: uncultured bacterium
Lineage: Bacteria
Description: partial 16S ribosomal RNA
Rfam family: Bacterial small subunit ribosomal RNA
Source: RNAcentral